UCCUGCGCCCCAGGUUGGGGCCAGGCGCAAGCUCCGGGCUCACGUUUUCGUUCGGCACGCUUCCUCCUCGCGGGGUCGUGGGCUGGACGGUGAGCACCGCGGAGCAUGCAUGCUAUGACCCGAAAGAUAGUGAACUAUGCCUGGCGAGGGUGAAGCCCCAGGAAACUGGGGUGGAGGCCCGUAGCCGUUGUGACGUGCAAAUCCAUGGCGUCAGUUGGGCAUAGGGGCGAAAGACCAAUCGAACUAUCUAGUAGCUGGUUCCACCCGAAGUUUCUCUCAGGAUAGCUGAUCUGCUGCAAGUUACUUGCUCUGGUGGGCGGCCUCGCACUUUCGCUCACACGCGAGUGGCGACUCUUAUGGCUGAUGACACAGUUUCGAAUGGUAAAGAGAAUGAUUAGAGCUACUGGGCUGCGGAUGGCAGCGUGUGUGUGUUCACCUCGUGUGGGCACGCGUGCGUUGUUCGUCUGCGCACGUUGGGGCGGGGAUGCAAAACACCUCGCACUAUUCUCAAACUUUAAAUGUUCGAGUGCCCCGGCAUGGUCGUGCUUACUGCCGGGUGCCACUCGUCAGUGUGGGUCUCGACUGCCCUCUCGUGCAAGCUCGACCACGUUCUCUAAGGGACUGUGUUGCUCUCGCGGGUGACUGGUACGCCUAGGUGUGUGCGUCGCUUGACCAGAAUUGGCGGAUUCAGUGGGUCUGUUCUGGUAAGCAGGACUGAUAAUGAGGGAUGAACCUCACGUCAUGCUAAGGGGCCUAA
Molecule: ribosomal RNA, 757 nt
Filed under: Cryptorchestia cavimana
Lineage: Eukaryota; Metazoa; Arthropoda; Malacostraca; Amphipoda; Talitridae
Description: eukaryotic LSU rRNA
Rfam family: Eukaryotic large subunit ribosomal RNA
Source: RNAcentral